GGAACAAUGUAUGCAAGGGAAGUCGGCAAAACUGAUCCGUAACUUCGGGAAAAGGAUUGGCUCUGAGGGCUGGGCACGGGGGUCUCGGCCCCGAACCCGUCGGCUGUCGACGGACUGCUCGAGCUGCUCUCGCGGCGAGAGCGGGUCGCCGCGUGCCGGCCGGGGGACGGACCGGGAACGACCCCCUCGGGGGCCUUCCCCGAGCGUCGAACAGCCGAUAUGGCAUAAGUUGUGGAGAGGUCUUCCUCGGGCCUUCCUCGGGGGCCUUCC
Musa acuminata subsp. malaccensis (wild Malaysian banana) is the source of this 270-nucleotide non-coding RNA. The record is from Rfam. NCBI's taxonomy places the organism in Eukaryota, Viridiplantae, Streptophyta, Magnoliopsida, Zingiberales, Musaceae.